Molecule: ribosomal RNA, 258 nt
Filed under: uncultured archaeon
Lineage: Archaea
Description: partial 16S ribosomal RNA
Rfam family: Archaeal small subunit ribosomal RNA
Source: RNAcentral
CAGCCGUAAACUAUGCGCGUUAGGUGUAUCGGUGACCACGAGUCACCGAGGUGCCGAAGGGAAACCGUGAAACGUGCCGCCUGGGAAGUACGGUCGCAAGGCUGAAACUUAAAGGAAUUGGCGGGGGAGCACAACAACGGGUGGAGCCUGCGGUUUAAUUGGACUCAACGCCGGACAACUCACCGGGACGACAGCAAUAUGUAGGCCAGGCUGAAGACCUUGCCUGAAUCGCUGAGAGGAGGUGCAUGGCGUAGACGU